This 524-nucleotide long non-coding RNA is filed under the name Rattus norvegicus (Norway rat). RNAcentral's name for it is "long non-coding RNA NONRATT010680". The record is from RNAcentral. Lineage: Eukaryota; Metazoa; Chordata; Mammalia; Rodentia; Muridae.
CCUCCUUAGUCACCAGGGAAAUGCAAAUCAAAACUAUUUUGAGACUUCAUCCUUCACAAGUCAAAAUGACUGAGAUCAAUAAAACAAAUGACAGCUCAUGCUGCCAAGGAUGCAGAGUAAGGGGAACAUUCACCCAUUGCUGGUGAGAGUGCAAACUUGUUCAGCCACUGUGGAAAUCAGCUGGCAGGGCAUCGGGAAGUUGGGAAUUGAUCUAUCUCGGGAUCCUGUUAUACACCCAAAGCAUGCUUCAUCCUACCACAAAGACACUUGUUCAACCAUGCUUACUGAUGCUCUAGUCAUAAUAACCAGAAGCUGGAAACAACAUAGAUGUCCAUCAAUGGGUGAUUAGAGAAAAAGAAUGUGGCACACUAAUGCAUUAGAAUAUUAAUCUGCUACUUAAAAAAACCCUCUUGGAGUCGGGAAGGGUUUGGGGAGGAAGAAGGGGGGCUGGGAGGUGGGCAAUGGCUGGAUUGUAAAAAAUAAAAGUAAAAAUAAAAGUAAUUUUAAAAAUCCAAAAAAGAAAA